This 1063-nucleotide ribosomal RNA is filed under the name Halalkalibacter okhensis. RNAcentral describes it as "bacterial SSU rRNA". It matches the Rfam family "Bacterial small subunit ribosomal RNA", at positions 90 to 1136 of the family's 1533-position model. Lineage: Bacteria; Bacillati; Bacillota; Bacilli; Caryophanales; Bacillaceae. The record is from RNAcentral.
AGUUAGCGGCGGACGGGUGAGUAACACGUGGGCAACCUGCCCUGUAGACUGGGAUAACACCGAGAAAUCGGUGCUAAUACCGGGUAAUCGAUUGAAUCGCAUGAUUCAAUUGUAAAAGAUGGCUCCGGCUAUCACUACGGGAUGGGCCCGCGGCGCAUUAGCUAGUUGGUAAGGUAAUGGCUUACCAAGGCGACGAUGCGUAGCCGACCUGAGAGGGUGAUCGGCCACACUGGGACUGAGACACGGCCCAGACUCCUACGGGAGGCAGCAGUAGGGAAUCUUCCGCAAUGGACGAAAGUCUGACGGAGCAACGCCGCGUGAGUGAUGAAGGGUUUCGGCUCGUAAAGCUCUGUUGUUAGGGAAGAACAAGUAUCGUUCGAAUAGGGCGGUACCUUGACGGUACCUAACCAGAAAGCCACGGCUAACUACGUGCCAGCAGCCGCGGUAAUACGUAGGUGGCAAGCGUUGUCCGGAAUUAUUGGGCGUAAAGCGCGCGCAGGCGGUCUUUUAAGUCUGAUGUGAAAGCCCCCGGCUCAACCGGGGAGGGUCAUUGGAAACUGGGAGACUUGAGUACAGAAGAGGAGAGUGGAAUUCCACGUGUAGCGGUGAAAUGCGUAGAUAUGUGGAGGAACACCAGUGGCGAAGGCGACUCUCUGGUCUGUAACUGACGCUGAGGCGCGAAAGCGUGGGGAGCAAACAGGAUUAGAUACCCUGGUAGUCCACGCCGUAAACGAUGAGUGCUAGGUGUUAGGGGUUUCGAUGCCCUUAGUGCCGAAGUUAACACAUUAAGCACUCCGCCUGGGGAGUACGACCGCAAGGUUGAAACUCAAAGGAAUUGACGGGGGCCCGCACAAGCAGUGGAGCAUGUGGUUUAAUUCGAAGCAACGCGAAGAACCUUACCAGGUCUUGACAUCCUUUGACAACCCUAGAGAUAGGGCUUUCCCCUUCGGGGGACAAAGUGACAGGUGGUGCAUGGUUGUCGUCAGCUCGUGUCGUGAGAUGUUGGGUUAAGUCCCGCAACGAGCGCAACCCUUUGAUCUUAGUUGCCAGCAUUCAGUUGGGG